RNAcentral lists this long non-coding RNA (1044 nucleotides) under Struthio camelus australis. Its description in RNAcentral is "lncRNA (ENSSCUG00000004954.1)". Lineage: Eukaryota; Metazoa; Chordata; Aves; Struthioniformes; Struthionidae. The record is from RNAcentral.
UCCAGGGUAGCUCUGACGUCCGUGGAAGCACGGCAAGGUCACCCAACGGCUCUGAGAUGCCACCGUCAGUGUCAAAAGCCCUAAGCAGCGUCUCUUAACCCGUGAACCAUCAGCUCCCGGCCCCUGCGGGCGUCGCGGCCGGAAGGGUUCGACGGCUCGAUCCGGGGCAGCGCGUCCCAUGCCCCCGGGUCGGAGCGUAGCCGAGUCGGCAAUAGGCUGACGGCGUGGAGGAAGAAUUAACGGCAAUUACGUUGAGUCACAGGGUUAAACACCCUCUAAAUCCUCUUUAAUUGCAUGGUAGUACUUAAUUACACGGCAACUAAAAUGUAAGCAUAAAAAUAAAUAUGAUUUUCUUUUUAUCUUCGGUCGGGGCACCGUGCUUGCAGUAAUUAAUUGGGGCGGGUAAGGUCCGGCGCUGUUAAAAGCAACCGCUGAACCCUUCCUUGCCUCCCCGCGGCAGCAUCUCAGCCACGUGUGCAAUUGAGAUGCAUAUGUCUAUAUAAUUUUUUUUUUUCUUUUCCCUUUUCUCUCAUUAUUCAGCUCGGGUGACGGCGGCAAGGCCUCGUGCGCCUGUACCUACCGCUUGGCUGUCCUGUUUCAUCUGCGUCUCGGGGNNNNNNNNNNNNNNNNNNNNNNNNNNNNNNNNNNNNNNNNNNCCCCGCCCCCCUCGGCUUGAAACCCCCCCCCCCAGCCGCUGGCAAAAGGCGGCCGCCUUCAUCUAAAGAUGGGAAAGUGCAACGAAGUGCAGAAUUAUGCUGCAGACAAGCGUGUGUGUGUGGAGGGAAGAGAAGCACUAGAGGGAAAGCAGAGCCGCUCUGGGGGCGCAGGGCUAAGUGCUCGCGAAAGCUCCCGAGGUUAACGCGUGCCGGGAGGAGAAUACAAGGAAGAUGGGUCCUUGGAGAUCGCCUGCUAAAUUACUCCUGUUUUACUCCUGCACAGCACUGAGAGCUUUGUGAGCCCCUGCUGAUGUUAUGGUAGUGCAAAUCAAGGGCCAUCACAUCUGGGGCCUUUCCUCCCUCACUGGCAAUUUUCUGUUCCUUUGGC